Molecule: long non-coding RNA, 262 nt
Filed under: Gossypium raimondii (Peruvian cotton)
Lineage: Eukaryota; Viridiplantae; Streptophyta; Magnoliopsida; Malvales; Malvaceae
Description: long non-coding RNA (GRAI_LNC002183)
Source: RNAcentral
UCAGAUCUAGUUAAAAACAAGGAGUACAAACGUUCGAGCAUCACAGGAGUAAGUAUUUGACAAAAAAAUUCAAAAAAAUUUUGGAAAAAAAUUUAAAAAAAUCGUGAACAAAAAAAAAGUAUACAUUUAGCAUAUUUGUAGUAAAAAAAUUGAAAGUAAAAAAAAAAGAGAAAGAAGUUGCUUGAAAGUGUUCAUAGUUUUUUUUUUCCGAUCUAAAGUGCUUUUCGACCAAUAACAAACCCAUCGCCACACUUAGCACCAC